This 383-nucleotide unclassified non-coding RNA is filed under the name uncultured fungus. RNAcentral's name for it is "sequence contains ITS1". The stretch from base 1 to 105 matches the Rfam family "5.8S ribosomal RNA", at positions 50 to 154 of the family's 154-position model. Lineage: Eukaryota; Fungi. The record is from RNAcentral.
CAGCUGCGAGACUUGGUGUGAAUUGCAGGACACAUUGAGCACUGAUUUUUCGAACGCACAUUGCGGUCUCGGGUACUACCCGGGACCACGUCUGUCUGAGGGUCGGAUAAAUGCAUGCAGAGGGGCUUCUGUCCCACGUGGUCGCACCGGAAGACUCUUCCUCGGAAGAGACUUUCGCCGACCUAAGGCUUGCGAGUUCCCCGACCGUGGAGGCGUCCCGCUAUGGACAGUCUCUGUGGCGGAGUGGCGAUGAUUUUGCUCCUGCCUGAAGAGACGGCGGUUUUAUCAGACGCCGGAGUCGUGGGCUCCUUGUGAAGAGACCGAUCGGUCUUCUUUUUAAUAUUGUCGACCUCAGAUCAGGCGAGACGACCCGCCGAAUUUAA